Long non-coding RNA from Ailuropoda melanoleuca (giant panda), 1394 nucleotides. RefSeq lists it as uncharacterized. The transcript has 8 exons. The record is from RefSeq and is a predicted model, not a curated record. NCBI's taxonomy places the organism in Eukaryota, Metazoa, Chordata, Mammalia, Carnivora, Ursidae.
GUUUGAUCUUGGACUGCCCAGCCUCCAGAACUGUGAGAAAUCAGUUUCCGUUGUCAAUCAGACGCUCAGUCUAUGGUAUUUUGUUAGAGCCGCGCGAAUGGACUAAGACGGUCCUUUUAAAUAUUGUCAGAGGGGAGGUCACAGCUGGCAGAGAGCGGGCAGGACCUCGAGGACCCUUUUGAAAGAAUUCUGCCACUUAACAAUCUUGCAUGAGUGGAGGGGAGGACAUCAAGAUAUGCCUGGAUGCCUGGAGAGUCAGAGGUUCCCACACUGGGUUCCUCAGCGUCAGAGGGGAUGACAGAAGUUUCCAGAGAUGCCACAGAGGGCAGGAGUGAGGCAGAGUGGACAGGACUAGAACAAGCUUGAAAUCCUCUGCAUAACGGAUACUGUUUGAGCUUUUACCAGUUUUGAGGGGGACCGAGACCAGAAGUAGAACAGGGACAAGGGAGGCACCAGGUUGGACGCACGGCAACUUACAGGCUGCUGGGGAUCUUCAGGGAAGAAGGGGGGGUGAUCGACAAGGCAGGACAGCACAAACUGGGCCGCCACCAGCGAUAAGCACAGCUGGAGUUUCCUUGUUCUGUUUGCUCACGUGGAGACCAGGGCUCAAAGAAGCGACAACACCUUGCUCAAGGACAUGCAGAGGAUCUGAUCCAAACCACGAGCUUUUGCUGCCACGUCACGCCACGAUUGCUUUGGCGUCCGCUGCCCCUCGGAUCAGAGCACCUUAAUUUGCUUUCCCAUGCUCAGGACCAGGAUGGAGCAGCCAUUUAGCUGGAGAAAUCAUGAGCUACAGCCUGUGCAGUGGGUCUCAGGAUCAGAUGUCUUGUGUGGCCGUCUAUGCAAGCAGUUUUCAACUGGGGCAAAUCUGUCCACCGGGGGACGUCUGGCUCUGUCCGUAGACACUCUGGGUCACCAGAAGGGGAGGUGUGCUGUUGGCAUCUAGUGGGUGGAGGCCGGGGAUGCUGUUCAACACCCCACAGUGCAAGAAGGGCUACCCCUGCCCGUCUCUUCUUGCCCACUGUGUCCUGAGGGUGAAAAACCCUGGCCUAGGCUAAUUUUCUCUUUGCAGAUAAAAUGAUCCAUGUGUCCCUUCACACGCAAAUGUGACUUCCCAGGACAGUUAACGGAAUGAUGGGUGGGGAUGCAGAAUGAGCAUGUCCCUGUGGAUGAGAGCGUGGGCGCCUUUGCAAGAAUACAAACUUGAAAGAGUAACAUGUCGUGGAGACCAUCUGGACAUAGAUGUGACUGAACCCCAUUAAGGCCUCUAUACUCGAAGGUUCUGGAAGGCAGGUGCAGAGAUCUCCUUCUCUUGCAGCACCUGGGACAAGCCUUUAGGCUCCAUGCCCAGUGUGGAGCCCAAUGCAGGGCUUGAACUCACGACCCUGAGAUCA